AGUCCAGACGAAUGGGAUAACGCUUUAAUACACGAGUCUACGCAGCCCUCCUUUUUUAUCGCUUGGAGUUAGAGUUAAACUUGGAAAAGAAGUAUAAAAAAAAUGUUUAUUAUUUAUACCAAUUUAUUUUUGUUCUAGCAGACCCUAGCUAUUUUUCCCCCUUUCAAGUUUUCAACACACAAUCGCUAAAGACACAAAUCUAUUAGGAAGAGAAGCACACAACGAAAGUGAUUCAUUUUUGUACGAUCAUCGGGGAAGGUUCUGUAAUCUUGAAUUUUCCAUUAGAAUAACAAUCAUGAGACUUGUUAAGGGGAGUAAAGUGGAGGUACUAAGAAAGAAAGAGGCGACUCCUGCUGAAUGGGCUUGUGCUAAGAUUAUCUCAGGCAAUGGGCACACUUAUGGUGUUGUAUUUGAAGGUUCUUGUGGCAUGAGAAGUGAGGCACUUGUGGAGAGAGUGCCAAGGAAGGCCAUUAGACCCUGCCCUCCUUCUGUGGGAAGUGUGGAGAGUUGGGAAUUUGGAGAUAUAGUGGAAGUUUUUGAUGUUGGUUCUUGGAAAAUAGCCAUGGUUGUGAAGCCCUUUGGCAGAGAUUAUUAUUUGGCUAGGCUACUGGGAUCUUGUGAGGAGUUCAGAGUUCACAAAUCCAACGUUCGUGUGCGUCAGUCUUGGCAAAAUAAUGAAUGGAUUGUGAUCGGAAAGGAUUUGGGGAGUUGUGAGGUUGUGAAAUCCAAUAAACCAUCUAGCUCGUAUUGUCAUCAGAUUACUUCUGGAGUUCCACAAUUCAAUUCAAGAAGAAAGAUGCAGGCAGGAUAUAAAUGUUUAGCUGCUCAAGACAAUACAUGUGUUCAUACUGUCUCAUCUAGGACAUUGAAGAGAUCGCUCCCUUAUUGCUCUUCUCAUAUUGAACCAUAUACCAGAAAAACGAGAGGGAUCCAGAAAGAGGGUGGAUCCCUCUUGCUGAAAAAGGGCCAAAGUUGGAGGCUUGCAUGCCUUGCUUCCAAAGGUCUAAAGAUGAUGCUGGGUUUUGCUGCCUUUCUCUGGGCUUAAACAAUUGUGCAAGCACUUCAUCCAGAUGUAUAUGUAUGUGUCCGCGUGUGUCUAUUUAUAGCAAUAUGUCAUUCCUGCUAGUGAUCCCCAAUUCCAGGAUUGGAAGAAGUUCUAUAUUAGGACUUCGAGAUCAAAUAUAGUAUUUUAUUUCCAUCCCUGAGCCACUUAGUCUCCUUUUACAAAAUAAGUCCUCGGCUUUACAUCAUUGAUAAGAGGAGGGAAGAGAGGAGAGGAGGGGGGGGGGGGGGGGGGUGUUUGGAAAUGCUUGCUUUCGUGUUCAUUGCAUUGUACAAGUAAAUAACCUAUGAAAAAAAAAACAUGUCCAAGUAAAUAGGCAGCAACUACCUAGAUGUUGGGGCAAGGCAAGUCCCAAGAAGGUAUAGGUUGGCUUCCAGCUCCAUCUCGGUUGGCAUCUUUCUCUUGAGGGGGUGGAGAGUCCUAGGGCAAACUACUCACUUUGCUGUGUUGCCCAAACCCACGGAAGGGCAUUUGCUGAGGAGUAUAGGUUUUGAGGGAGGGAAAGCACGGCUGACAAGCCAUCAGUGGCAUGGUUGAUUUCUGAUGUGCUAGGAGCCAUGGACCCAUAUGGUGCCAACUUUUGAAACUUUUGGGAGAACAAUCUUGAUAUGAUCUCUGGGCAACUCAUCCUUGAUAAAGCCUGUCAAUACCGCACAUGUAGCGGAAGGGUUGCUGGGACUCUAUCCGUGUCAAUACCGCACUUGAUAAAGCCUGUCAAUACCUCUGUCUUGAGAUUUAACAACAAAUUUGCUACCGGGAAGGAACAGUUGGUUGAUUAUGAUGGCCACUACGAUCGUUUCGAACUUUCAAGUCCAACCAUGAAGUUCCUCGGGGUUUGCCGAUGCUUAUGAUGAGUAUUUUAGCUAGCCAAUGGGGGGUGAAUUUCAUGAAAUCCGAGGAUGGACUGCCUAGGCACAGGUGAGGUUUGGAUAGAAGUUAAAUGAAAUGAGAUAAAAAUUGAAUAAAAUAUUAUUUUUAUUUUGAAAUUUAAAAAAAUUGAAUAGUUUAUUAUAUUUUGUGUAAAAUUUGUGUAAAAGCUUAAAAAAAAUAUAAUGAUUA
Carya illinoinensis is the source of this 2122-nucleotide RNA transcript. RefSeq lists it as uncharacterized. Lineage: Eukaryota; Viridiplantae; Streptophyta; Magnoliopsida; Fagales; Juglandaceae. The record is from RefSeq and is a predicted model, not a curated record. The transcript has 6 exons.